GACGAACGCUGGCGGCGUGCUUAACACAUGCAAGUCGAACGGAAAGGCCCUGCUUUUGUGGGGUGCUCGAGUGGCGAACGGGUGAGUAACACGUGAGUAACCUGCCCUUGACUUUGGGAUAACUUCAGGAAACUGGGGCUAAUACCGGAUAGGAGCUCCUGCUGCAUGGUGGGGGUUGGAAAGUUUCGGCGGUUUGGGAUGGACUCGCGGCUUAUCAGCUUGUUGGUGGGGUAGUGGCUUACCAAGGCUUUGACGGGUAGCCGGCCUGAGAGGGUGACCGGCCACAUUGGGACUGAGAUACGUCCCAGACUCCUACGGGAGGCAGCAGUGGGGAAUAUUGCACAAUGGGCGGAAGCCUGAUGCAGCAACGCCGCGUGCGGGAUGACGGCCUUCGGGUUGUAAACCGCUUUCGCCUGUGACGAAGCGUGAGUGACGGUAAUGGGUAAAGAAGCACCGGCUAACUACGUG
Molecule: ribosomal RNA, 468 nt
Filed under: uncultured bacterium
Lineage: Bacteria
Description: partial 16S ribosomal RNA
Rfam family: Bacterial small subunit ribosomal RNA
Source: RNAcentral